UACGUAGGGUGCGAACGUUGUUCGGAAUCACUGGGCAUAAAGAGCGCGUAGGCGGUCUGAUAAGUCCUGUGUGAAAGCCCCCGGCUUAACCGGGGAAUUGCACAGGAUACUGUCAGGCUAGAGUGCAGGAGGGGAGAGCGGAAUUCCUGGUGGAGCGGUGAAAUGCGUAGAUAUCAGGAGGAACGCCGGUGGCGAAAGCGGCUCUCUGGUCUGCAACUGACGCUGAGGUGCGAAAGCUAGGGGAGCAAACGGG
This 253-nucleotide ribosomal RNA is filed under the name uncultured bacterium. RNAcentral's name for it is "partial 16S ribosomal RNA". It matches the Rfam family "Bacterial small subunit ribosomal RNA", at positions 524 to 776 of the family's 1533-position model. The record is from RNAcentral.